Molecule: ribosomal RNA, 583 nt
Filed under: uncultured bacterium
Lineage: Bacteria
Description: partial 16S ribosomal RNA
Rfam family: Bacterial small subunit ribosomal RNA
Source: RNAcentral
UGGGGAAUUUUGGACAAUGGGCGAAAGCCUGAUCCAGCAAUGCCGCGUGUGUGAAGAAGGCCUUCGGGUUGUAAAGCACUUUUGUCCGGAAAGAAAUCCUUGGCUCUAAUACAGUCGGGGGAUGACGGUACCGGAAGAAUAAGCACCGGCUAACUACGUGCCAGCAGCCGCGGUAAUACGUAGGGUGCAAGCGUUAAUCGGAAUUACUGGGCGUAAAGCGUGCGCAGGCGGUUUGCUAAGACCGAUGUGAAAUCCCCGGGCUCAACCUGGGAACUGCAUUGGUGACUGGCAGGCUAGAGUAUGGCAGAGGGGGGUGAGAAUUCCACGUGUAGCAGUGAAGUGCGUAGAGAUGUGGAGGAAUACCGAUGGCGAAGGCAGCCCCCUGGGCCAAUACUGACGCUCAUGCACGAAAGCGUGGGGAGCAAACAGGAUUAGAUACCCUGGUAGUCCACGCCCUAAACGAUGUCAACUAGUUGUUGGGGAUUCAUUUCCUUAGUAACGUAGCUAACGCGUGAAGUUGACCGCCUGGGGAGUACGGUCGCAAGAUUAAAACUUAAAGGAAUUGACGGGGUCAUAGCUGUUU